AGCGAACGCUAGCGGCGGGCUUAACACAUGCAAGUCGAGCGGAGGGGCAACCCUUAGCGGCGGACGGGUGAGUAACACGUAGGUAACGUAUCCUCUGGUGGGGAAUAACCGUGGGAAACCAUGGCUAAUACCGCACAUCGUAUGAAAGUAUGAAAGCCCUUCGGGCGCCAGUUGAGCGGCCUGCGGCCCAUUAGUUAGUUGGCGGGGUAACGGCCCACCAAGACGAUGAUGGGUAGCUGGUCUGAGAGGAUGAUCAGCCACACUGGAACUGAGACACGGUCCAGACUCCUACGGGAGGCAGCAGUGGGGAAUAUUGCGCAAUAGC
This 325-nucleotide ribosomal RNA is filed under the name uncultured bacterium. RNAcentral's name for it is "bacterial SSU rRNA". It matches the Rfam family "Bacterial small subunit ribosomal RNA", at positions 29 to 375 of the family's 1533-position model. The record is from RNAcentral.